AGCGAACGCUGGCGGCAGGCCUAACACAUGCAAGUCGAACGGACCCUUCGGGGUUAGUGGCGGACGGGAGAGUAACACGUGGGAACGUGCCUUUAGGUUCGGAAUAGCUCCUGGAAACGGGUGGUAAUGCCGAAUGUGCCCUUCGGGGGAAAGAUUUAUCGCCUUUAGAGCGGCCCGCGUCUGAUUAGCUAGUUGGUGAGGUAACGGCUCACCAAGGCGACGAUCAGUAGCUGGUCUGAGAGGAUGACCAGCCACACUGGGACUGAGACACGGCCCAGACUCCUCCGGGAGGCAGCAGUGGGGAAUCUUGCGCAAUGCGCGAAAGGCUGACGCAGCCAUGCCGCGUGAAUGAUGAAGGUAUUAGGAAUGUAAAAUUCUUUCACCGGGGAGGAUAAUGACGGUACCCGGAGAAGAAGCCACGGCUAACUUCGUG
Molecule: ribosomal RNA, 433 nt
Filed under: uncultured bacterium
Lineage: Bacteria
Description: partial 16S ribosomal RNA
Rfam family: Bacterial small subunit ribosomal RNA
Source: RNAcentral